Molecule: unclassified non-coding RNA, 330 nt
Filed under: soil metagenome
Description: partial contains 5.8S ribosomal RNA, internal transcribed spacer 2, and large subunit ribosomal RNA
Rfam family: 5.8S ribosomal RNA (bases 1-120)
Source: RNAcentral
GUUGAAGAACGCAGCGAAAUGCGAUAAGUAAUGUGAAUUGCAGAAUUCAGUGAAUCAUCGAAUCUUUGAACGCACAUUGCGCCCCUUGGUAUUCCGGGGGGCAUGCCUGUUCGAGCGUCAUUUCAACCCUCAAGCUUCUGCUUGGUCUUGGGCCGUGCCGGCAACGGCUGGCCUUAAAACUAGUGGCGGUGCCAUCGAGCUCUACGCGUAGUAAUUCUAUCUCGCGUCUGGGCUUCGGUGGACGCUGGCCAGCAACCCCCAAUUUUCUAUGGUUGACCUCGGAUCAGGUAGGGAUACCCGCUGAACUUAAGCAUAUCAAUAAGCGGAGGA